Molecule: non-coding RNA, 369 nt
Organism: Neomonachus schauinslandi (Hawaiian monk seal)
Lineage: Eukaryota; Metazoa; Chordata; Mammalia; Carnivora; Phocidae
Source: the annotation of a RefSeq genome assembly
AUGAAGACUCUUAUUGGAACUUUGUUCCUGUUCUUGUGGAUGCAGCUGGACUGGAUGAGUAAAGGAGAAGAGGUACAGCAGCACCCUUCUUUCCUGACCAUCUGGGAGGGAGACAGCUUUGUUAUCAACUGCACGUACACAGACAGUGCCUCGGACUACUUCUUUUGGUACAAGCAAGAACCUGGAAAAGGCCUCCAGUUGCUUAUAUAUACUCUUUCAAAUGUGGUCAAGAAACAAGAACAAAGACUCACCGUCCUACUUAAUAAGAAGGAUAAACACCUUUCCCUGCAUGACACAGCCACCCACCCUGGGGACUCAGCCACCUACUUCUGUGCAACAAGGGCCUUAGUUGAUUUAAGGUAUCUCUAA